GGGCCGGUGAGGGGCAGGGAGGAGCGCGGCCGCGUCUUGAGGGAUGGGGUCGCGUGGUUGCCAGGACGUGGCGAUAAGAAGCAUCACUCGGAGGCGCGUUUCACGUAGAAGGAGUUUUCUUUUACUACCCUCGGAUGACUUCCUUCGUCACGCGUGGAUCUGCUCUAAGGCUGCCUGCCUGCCGGCCGCCUGCGGAAGUCCUCCCUGGGGCCUUUGCCGCCCGGAGCUGCCAGGCAUCGCGGGCGCGCCCACACAGAGGACCUGCGAACCCACCAGCUUCUCGGAGGGUGAGUGAGCGAGGGGACCGGGCCGGAUGGGCUGCAGCAGCCAGGGCUUGGGCCCUCAGCGCCGUGGAGCGGGCCGCGUGGGGGAGGACGUUCGCGCAGCUCCGUGUGCCAGAGCCGCCACCGCCGCUGGGAGACCCGUGCUGGCGGGAAGGCGCCUGCCCCCGCUGGGGCGGUGGCGAACCUCACUAGCGGCCGGCCCUGGAGGGAGGUGGUGAGGCGGCUUGCCUGCGGCCAGGGGUUUGUGUGGAGUUGCCAAGUAUUCGGCAAUACUUGGAGUUGCCAAGUAUUCGGUUUGUGUGGAGUUGCCAAGAGUGAAAGACCUGCUUUUUCCUAUGGGUGUGUGGAUGUGUUCCUGGAAUGGGGUGCUGGUUGUGCUGGGUGCCCUCUUUAAGGAACUGCCUGACCAUCUUGUGAUUUGUAGGUAAGGAGAGGAACCUUAGGCUGGGCAGGAGAAAGAGUGGCUCUGCUGGCCACUAAUUGUCCACUAGCUUGGUCCCAUCCGUCUGGGGCCAUUCUGGGCAUAGGGAGUCACCUGGAAUUGUUAGUGAUUCAGGUUCAGCGUGUCAGGAGCCUACCCGGCAGGUGGGUGAAACACCGGGCGAGUCACCUCUUCCUGUUGGCCACGGGCACUAGGGUCCCCUGACACUUUGUUAUUUCUGCAUUUGAGAGUUCUCCUUUGGAUGCUUCUGUGGUUGUUUCCCUGGCUUAGUUUUCUUUUGUGAAGAGGUAGUUUCUGUUACAUCCUCUGUUGGUUCAGGAGUCUUGUCAUUGAAGGUCCUUUGACACAGUAGAGGUAACUUACUGUGCAGUAGAUGGCAUUUUCCCCAGAAUUCUCAUUCUUCCUUUCCCAAGUUCAGGAAACUUAUAGGUUAAGGAAACUUAACCUAUAAUUGCCUGGGUUAAGUUUGUGAGGAUUGUGUUCUGUCGUAUUUGUUGGUUGGUUCAUGAGUGAGCUUUUUAAAUACAUAUGUAACUACAAGUAUCAUGAAAAAAUCAUUAGGCUUUGCAUUUGUUCUUCCUUCUAAGUUAACUGGGAGUACCAGUCUUGUUGCUGGGUCACAGGUCCCGUAUGGUUUUUCUGCAUUUGAGAGUCAACGUUACUGGCUAUGAAUUUGGUUGCGCACAUUUCUAGUAUGUUAAGACUUUGGAUGCCUUAAGAGUACAUGUUUGUUCUGAAAUACGUUUUUAA
This 1476-nucleotide long non-coding RNA is filed under the name Castor canadensis (American beaver). RNAcentral describes it as "lncRNA (ENSCCNG00000010589.1)". The record is from RNAcentral. Lineage: Eukaryota; Metazoa; Chordata; Mammalia; Rodentia; Castoridae.